UUUCUUGAGGACUGCAGAUACA
RNAcentral lists this non-coding RNA (22 nucleotides) under Rattus norvegicus (Norway rat). Lineage: Eukaryota; Metazoa; Chordata; Mammalia; Rodentia; Muridae. The record is from RNAcentral.